UACAGAGGGGGCAAGCGUUAUUCGGAAUUAUUGGGCGUAAAGGGCGCGUAGGCGGCUUUGCAAGUGACGGGUGAAAUCCCUCGGCUUAACCGGGGAACUGCGUCCGAUACUGGUGGGCUUGAAUCCGGGAGAGGGAUGCGGAAUUCCAGGUGUAGCGGUGAAAUGCGUAGAUAUCUGGAGGAACACCGGUGGCGAAGGCGGCAUCCUGGACCGGCAUUGACGCUGAGGCGCGAAAGCUAGGGGAGCAAACGGG
This 253-nucleotide ribosomal RNA is filed under the name uncultured bacterium. RNAcentral's name for it is "partial 16S ribosomal RNA". It matches the Rfam family "Bacterial small subunit ribosomal RNA", at positions 524 to 776 of the family's 1533-position model. The record is from RNAcentral.